Molecule: RNA transcript, 1386 nt
Organism: Vollenhovia emeryi
Lineage: Eukaryota; Metazoa; Arthropoda; Insecta; Hymenoptera; Formicidae
Gene name: low-density lipoprotein receptor-related protein 12-like
Exons: 4
Source: RefSeq, a predicted model, not a curated record
UAUGUUAACUUUUGAAUAACUAUUUUCAGCACGUGGUUGUCCCGCAGCUGUGUUACGCAUGUGGGAUUCGUUAACGUCUGCUCCACGUGAGCUCUGUGGUGUUAAAAAUCCUGAGGACAAUUGGGGUUUCCUUUCAGAGGAUAAUAAUAUGCGACUCAGUUUUAUAUCAGCUGAUAAAGCAGUAGGGCAACACGGUUUUCGAGCGGUGUGGACCGAAGUGAGUACAGAUUGCGAGAAUCAGUUUCAAUGCAUCAAAAAUAAAUACUGCAUCGAUGAGUCGCUGCGGUGCAAUAACAUAGAUAAUUGUGGGCCAGACGAUUCGUCGGACGAGGAAAACUGUGCAGCAUCAGCCCCAUUGUCACCAGCACUGACUGGGGUAUCUACUGCCAUGCUUCUCUCUCUGUGCUUUGUAUUCGUGGCCAUCUGAGCCCCCUUCAUGAAGCUUCCAGAUGAUCCGGCAUGUUAUGCUCCCCUUAUCACGCCGGUCUACCGUCCAAUUCGAGAGCGUGGCAAGAUGUGACCGCCCGGCGAUCGAUAUUGCAAUGCGCACGGAAAGUUGUUUCCAUCGCAAUCGGCAAUGGUUACGCAUGAGCGGCGCGUAAAAUAAAUAAGUAAAUUAAUAAAUCAUAAAUCAACGCAUCGAUCACGGAACGACGUCACUCGUGCGUGACUCCACCUUUCGCUACCGCGUCCUAGGAGAUAUAAACAAAUGAACCAUUUUGCAUGCCUGCCGGGUCCGGCCUUCCGUUCCUUAUGCGUUUAUUCGACCAGACGUUUUUAUCAAUUACACGAUAAAUAUUGCUAAUUUUGCAAAACGGUACAUGACUUUUCUUUUCAGUUUAACCUAAUCUACCGUAAUUUUUAAUUUGGCUACUAACGAGUCUGACACCCUGUAUAUAUUUUUUAUAAAUUUGAAUUUAUUUUUAUCAUUUUUACUUGAACAACCACCCUCCUUAACAUUUCUUCACAUGUUGAAUGUCAAAGUUAAGUUUAUCUUCAAAAUUCAUAAUUUUUCUCUAUUCAUAUAAUGGUUUUCAAAUAUUGAUAAGAAAUAAGACUGAAGAACACCAAUUGAUUUCCAGUGAUUUGUCAAAUCACAGUUUCAUUAUCGACUCAAGAAAUUCAUUUUUUAAAAAUCAGAAUAGAAAUAAUUAUAUCCAACACGAACGAAGAGCAUGUCAAGAAGGAAUGCAGUUUAAUAUACAUAUAUACGCCUUUACUGAUUAUCUAACAAUAAGUGCAUGCAAUUCUCUACUUCUAUUUCCGAAUCUUAUACAUCAUUUCUUCUUUGAAUUACCUAUCUGUUUCUUGUGAUCUUAUAUCUUCUGAUCUACAUGAAGCAUAAAUUAAGAAAUAAUUAUAAUUAGAAGAUAUACGUUAUCUAUU